RNAcentral lists this transfer RNA (73 nucleotides) under Thermoproteota archaeon. RNAcentral describes it as "tRNA-Thr". It matches the Rfam family "tRNA". From Rfam's summary of the family: Transfer RNA (tRNA) molecules are approximately 80 nucleotides in length. Their secondary structure includes four short double-helical elements and three loops (D, anti-codon, and T loops). Further hydrogen bonds mediate the characteristic L-shaped molecular structure. tRNAs have two regions of fundamental functional importance: the anti-codon, which is responsible for specific mRNA codon recognition, and the 3' end, to which the tRNAs corresponding amino acid is attached (by aminoacyl-tRNA synthetases). tRNAs cope with the degeneracy of the genetic code in two manners: having more than one tRNA (with a specific anti-codon) for a particular amino acid; and 'wobble' base-pairing, i.e. permitting non-standard base-pairing at the 3rd anti-codon position. Lineage: Archaea; Thermoproteati; Thermoproteota. The record is from RNAcentral.
GCCCUAGUAGCUCAGCCGGCAGAGCGAAGGUUUCGUAUACCUUAGGUCGCGCGUUCAAAUCGCGCCUAGGGCU